This 890-nucleotide ribosomal RNA is filed under the name uncultured bacterium. Its description in RNAcentral is "bacterial SSU rRNA". It matches the Rfam family "Bacterial small subunit ribosomal RNA", at positions 8 to 887 of the family's 1533-position model. The record is from RNAcentral.
AGAGUUUGUUUAGGGCUCAGAUUGAACGCUGGCGGCAGGCUUAACACAUGCAAGUCGAGCGGCAGCGGAAAGAAGCUUGCUUCUUUGCCGGCGAGCGGCGGACGGGUGAGUAAUGUCUGGGGAUCUGCCCGAUGGAGGGGGAUAACUACUGGAAACGGUAGCUAAUACCGCAUAAUGUCGCAAGACCAAAGUGGGGGACCUUCGGGCCUCACACCAUCGGAUGAACCCAGACGGGAUUAGCUAGUAGGUGGGGUAAUGGCUCACCUAGGCGACGAUCCCUAGCUGGUCUGAGAGGAUGACCAGCCACACUGGAACUGAGACACGGUCCAGACUCCUACGGGAGGCAGCAGUGGGGAAUAUUGCACAAUAGGGGAAACCCUGAUGCAGCCAUGCCGCGUGUGUGAAGAAGGCCUUCGGGUUGUAAAGCACUUUCAGCGGGGAGGAAGGCAAUGGCGUUAAUAGUGUCAUUGAUUGACGUUACCCGCAGAAGAAGCACCGGCUAACUCCGUGCCAGCAGCCGCGGUAAUACGGAGGGUGCGAGCGUUAAUCGGAAUUACUGGGCGUAAAGCGUACGCAGGCGGUCUGUUAAGUCAGAUGUGAAAUCCCCGGGCUUAACCUGGGAACUGCAUUUGAAACUGGCAGGCUAGAGUCUCGUAGAGGGGGGUAGAAUUCCAGGUGUAGCGGUGAAAUGCGUAGAGAUCUGGAGGAAUACCGGUGGCGAAGGCGGCCCCCUGGACGAAGACUGACGCUCAGGUACGAAAGCGUGGGGAGCAAACAGGAUUAGAUACCCUGGUAGUCCACGCUGUAAACGAUGUCGAUUUGAAGGUUGUGGUCUUGAGCCGUGGCUUUCGGAGCUAACGCGUUAAAUCGACCGCCUGGGGAGUACGGCC